Molecule: ribosomal RNA, 460 nt
Filed under: uncultured bacterium
Lineage: Bacteria
Description: partial 16S ribosomal RNA
Rfam family: Bacterial small subunit ribosomal RNA
Source: RNAcentral
CCUACGUGUGGCAGCAGUGAGGAAUAUUGGUCAAUGGACGGAAGUCUGAACCAGCCAUGCAGCGUGCAGGAUGACUGCCCUAUGAGUUGUAAACUUCUUUUAUAUGGGAAUAAAAUUUUCCACGUGUGGGAUUUUGUAUGUACCAUAUGAAUAAGGAUCGGCUAACUCCGUGCCAGCAGCCGCGGUAAUUCGGAGGAUCCGAGCGUUAUCCGGAUUUAUUGGGUUUAAAGGGUGCGAAGGUGGGUUGUUAAGUCCGUUGUGAAAGUUUGCGGCUCAACCGUAAAAUUGCAGUUGAAACUGGCAGUCUUGAGUACAGUAGAGGUGUGCGGAAUUUGUGGUGUAGCGGUGAAAUGCUUAGAUAUCACGAAGAACCCCGAUUGCGAAGGCAGCUUACUGGACUGCAACUGACACUGAGGCUCGAAAGUGUGGGUAUCAAACAGGAUUAGAUACCCUUGUAGUC